GAUGAACGCUGGCGGCGUGCCUAAUACAUGCAAGUCGAGCGAACAGACGAGGAGCUUGCUCCUCUGACGUUAGCGGCGGACGGGUGAGUAACACGUGGAUAACCUACCUGUAAGACUGGGAUAACUUCGGGAAACCGGAGCUAAUACCGGAUAAUAUAUUGAACCGCAUGGUUCAAUAGUGAAAGACGGUUUUGCUGUCACUUAUAGAUGGAUCCGCGCCGCAUUAGCUAGUUGGUAAGGUAACGGCUUACCAAGGCGACGAUGCGUAGCCGACCUGAGAGGGUGAUCGGCCACACUGGAACUGAGACACGGUCCAGACUCCUACGGGAGGCAGCAGUAGGGAAUCUUCCGCAAUGGGCGAAAGCCUGACGGAGCAACGCCGCGUGAGUGAUGAAGGUCUUCGGAUCGUAAAACUCUGCUAUUAGGGAAGAACAAAUGUGUAAGUAACUAUGCACGUCUUGACGGUACCUAAUCAGAAAGCCACGGCUAACUACGUG
Molecule: ribosomal RNA, 497 nt
Filed under: uncultured bacterium
Lineage: Bacteria
Description: partial 16S ribosomal RNA
Rfam family: Bacterial small subunit ribosomal RNA
Source: RNAcentral